GAACGAACGCUGGCGGCAGGCUUAACACAUGCAAGUCGAACGCUCCUAGCAAUAGGGGAGUGGCAGACGGGUGAGUAACGCGUGGGAACAUACCCUCCGGUUCGGAAUAACUCAGGGAAACUUGAGCUAAUACCGGAUACGGUCGAGAGGCGAAAGAUUUAUCGCCGGAGGAUUGGCCCGCGUCCGAUUAGCUAGUUGGUGUGGUAAUGGCGCACCAAGGCGACGAUCGGUAGCUGGUCUGAGAGGAUGAUCAGCCACAUUGGGACUGAGACACGGCCCAAACUCCUACGGGAGGCAGCAGUGGGGAAUAUUGGACAAUGGGCGCAAGCCUGAUCCAGCCAUGCCGCGUGAGUGAWGAMGGCCUUAGGGUUGUAAAGCUCUUUCGCUCGGGACRAUAAUGACGGUACCGAGAUAAGAAGCCCCGGCUAACUUCGUGCCAGCAGCCGCGGUAAUACGAAGGGGGCUAGCGUUGUUCGGAAUUACUGGGCGUAAAGCGCGUGUAGGCGGGCUUUUAAGUCAGGGGUGAAAUGCCGAGGCUCAACCUCGGAACUGCCUUUGAUACUGGAAGUCUUGAGUCCGGGAGAGGUGAGUGGAACUGCGAGUGUAGAGGUGAA
This 614-nucleotide ribosomal RNA is filed under the name uncultured bacterium. RNAcentral describes it as "bacterial SSU rRNA". It matches the Rfam family "Bacterial small subunit ribosomal RNA", at positions 27 to 685 of the family's 1533-position model. The record is from RNAcentral.